Molecule: long non-coding RNA, 3461 nt
Filed under: Sus scrofa (pig)
Lineage: Eukaryota; Metazoa; Chordata; Mammalia; Artiodactyla; Suidae
Description: lncRNA (ENSSSCG00000052037.1)
Source: RNAcentral
CACAGCUCACGGCGACGCUGGAUCCCUAACCCACUGAGCGAGGCCAGGGAUCAAACCCUCAUUGUCGUGGAUCCGCCUUGGGUUCAUUAACCACUGAGCCACGAAGGGAACCCUUGUUUUUUCUUUUUUUACUUUUUCUUUUUGGCCACACCCAAGACAUAUGGAAGCUCCCAGGCCAGGGAUCAAACCCUCGAUGCCACAGAGACAAGCCAGAUCAUUAACCCAUUGUGCCAUAGCGGGUACUCCCUCUUUUUUUGUCUUUUAAGGAUCUGAAUGUAUAUAUGCUUAUUUAGCUAAAGUAAAAUCUAUCGCCCCUCUCUUGGGAGACACCCUGCAGUUGUGUCCUUCUGCACAGUUGCCCUGGGCCUGGUGGUAACAUCUACCAGAGGACCAGGGCUGCGUCCUCACGGGCCUCCAUGGCGAUGCUUUUACCAGAUGGCAUUUUAUCAUGAGGCACCAGAGGAGGAGACAGUCCCCUGCAGGUCCUCAGUGAGCUGCCCCGGGCAUCCUUGUGUUCUGUGCAGGGGCUCCUCCCUAAGGGGGCGAAUGAGGCCUGAACCCAGCCUGGCUCCUGUCCCCAAGCCCUGUGCCCUCACGGCCACGCAGGCCUGGAGACGUGUGUCCUUAUUCGCGUGGAAGUACUCGGGCCGACAGCAGCCUCCUCGUGCCUGGGUGUGGCUGGACAUUGAACAGUGUCUUCUUUGUCUUCGGGAGAAAAUUCUCUCCAGUGUGAGCAUCAGAAAUUGGAGUUCCUGGAGUUCCCGUCGUGGCUCAGUGGAAACGAAUCUGACUAGGAUCCAUGAGGACGCAGGUUUGAUCCCUGGCCUUGCUCAGUGGGUUAAGGAUCCGACGUUGCUGUGAGCUGAGGUGUAGUUUGCCGACGCAGCUCAGACCUGGUGUUGCCGUGGGCUGCGGUAUAGGCCAGCAGCUACAGCUCCAAUUCGACCUCUAGCCUGGGAACUUCCAGAUGCUGUGGGUGCAGCCCUUAAAAGACAAAAACAAACAAACUAACGAAAUAGCUGUGCUUCCCUUGGGCUCCUGAUUGGUUUUGUGUUGUGGGUACAAGCAUAAUUUCCUCUUCCCGUGGACCACGAGGAAGCUUAGAAUCAGGCCGGAGUCUCCCCUCUAGCAAGUAGGUGGGAUUUCACAGCAUGCAUCCCGAGUGCCGCUGUGCAGAGUGGUCUGGGUGGAGCCGGGAACCAUAUAAAUAUGUUAACUUGAGAAACUAUUUUCUGCAUUGCUUUGUCUGGGUCGUAAAUUGAGUCUGGGUCUGCUUACUUGAGAAGAUUAUUAUAAUUCAUUCCGUGUACACUUGUGUAUCUUGCUCUGUGCUGGUCACACGGUGGGGAUGAAGACAGGCUGGGCCUCUACCCUCAGGGGCCUAUAUGCCCAUCGGGCAGAAGGCAGGGGGAGACUGAGCAAGGCGAUUACAGACUGGAACAGUGCCCUUGUGAGUGCACAGGGGUGAGGGGCUGGGGUAAGAGGGGGUUCCUUAAACGGAAUGAGCAGGGAAGCCUUUUAAAGGAGCACUAAUUUACUGUAAAUUGAAUCCUUAGCUUGGUGCCCAGCACACAGUAGGCUCUCAGUCGAUGGGAACCGCUGUUGUUAUUAUUAACUGUUCUCUUGCCCUCACUGUUGGCUGCUCAAUGCAUGGAGACAGAGGGAAACAUCGCCAAGUUUGAAGAAGUGGUGAUGGCUUUGCAGGUGUGCCGGCACUGGAGGCUCAGGGAUCCCCAGCUGAUGAGCUCUGGGAGUGUCUUCCCCCCCUUGGCCAUCUUGAAAAGCUUCCUUGCUGGGUGGUUCCAAGCAGCUUUGCUGGAUGCCUCAUCUUAGGUUUGUCAUGUGAGCUGAGGCUUCUCUCCAAACCAUCAUCCUCAAGCCUCAGUCUGCCGCCACCGCCUGGUAUCUUUGCCAUCUGCAAUUUCCUGAUGGUUAUCGUAGCGCAAGUUUCAGUUCGUAUCCAUUUAGAACCAAACGCAGUGAAAGCCUGACCAGUGUGGGGGCAGUGAGGAGCAGGAGGCCCUUCCCUGCGGAGAUAAUAUUCAGUGUUCAGCCGAGGUGUGCGGUGGACUGAAGUGUAUCUCCUCCACCUUCCUGCUUUUGAGCUCUCUGAGUUUCUGACAUAGUUGGCCCGUCUGGGAGACGAGGAGGGAAGGGUUAGGGCCUGAGGCUGGGAGUUUGGGUGAAUAUAACAAGUUGGCCUCACUGUCCUCCCAGGAGUGAUGCCUGGCGAUGACGUGCAGGAGCUAAGCUGGGGGGAAGACGCUGGGAAAGUGCCCACAAGACAGCGCCUUCCCUUGGUUACCUCAGGGAACCCACUUACGCCUCUAUUACCCUGUAAAUUAGGAGAGUGAUUCAGUCAGGUAUAUUUAUCAUGAAGAGAACUGAAGAUAAUUAAUACACUGCAUUGAAUGCAAAUUGCACCCACAGCACUUAUCUCAUUUUCAAUUAGCACAAAUGUUACAGCACUGCAGGCUUGUUAUGGUUUUACCAUGGGCUGGGUAAUUAAUUUCUGUGAGCCACAUAGCAGGCACCUGGUAAUGCCGUUUAUUAAUAAAUGUCACCCCAGGUAUCGGUUUGUUAGAGGAGGCAAAUGAAUGGAAUGCGAAGGUGUCUGCCCUGCGCAAAUCUAUUUUUACACCUCACUGAGUCUUUUCACUUGUUUGUUUAUUGACUAGAGUGACGACUGAGAUUACAAUUGCAAACAAAGGAACCCCCCCCCUUAAUGUGGCCUCAAAGGGGGAUUCCUCUUUCUUCCCCCUCAGGGAUGCUGAGGCCUGUGAGCAGAGUGGAGUGUGUGGUGGAGGAGGUUCUGUUGCUUCAGAAGGCAUUGUCCCUGAUGGGAGCCCCCCAGGGGCAGCAUCAGAAAGGAGGAGCCCCCCCCCCCCAACCACAGACACCCUCCCAUAGGUGGUGCUGGUCCUACCUCCCCAGCCGUGAAUCUCUGGGGAGCAAGAGAUCUCACGGACUCCUUUCCUGGGCCCCCGUCCCAUCGCAUCCUUACCCCCUUUCUCUGGUCGAAUUCUCCUCUAUACUCUUAGCCGCCACCCGCCUGCCAUCUGGGCCUCUGAUGUGAGAAGGUGGGUGGGAACUGGAGGCUUUUGACAAGUGUGGGUUGUUGAGCCGAGGUCUCCUAACUCUCUGAGCUUUCCCACGCAUCUGAACUUGUGCCUUCUCUUUCCAUACUGGCAGGGACAUUAGUUAAAAAAAAAAAAAACAACCCUCAAAAUUUGGGGUUCCUUUCCUGGCUCAGUGUUUAAUGAAUCUGACUAGGAACCGUGAGGUUGAGGGUUCGAUCCCUGGCCUUGGUCAGUGGGUUAAGGAUCCGGCGUUGCCCUGAGCUGUGGUAUAGGUCACAGACGUGGCGGAUCUGGUAUGGCUGUGGCUGUGGUGUAGGCCGGUGGCUACACCUCCAAUUAGACCCCUAGCCUGGGAACUUCCAUGUGCCACUGGUGCGGCCC